GGGUUGUGAGGUUAAGCGACUAAGCGUACACGGUGGAUGCCCUGGCAGUCAGAGGCGAUGAAGGACGUGCUAAUCUGCGAUAAGCGUCGGUAAGGUGAUAUGAACCGUUAUAACCGGCGAUUUCCGAAUGGGGAAACCCAGUGUGAUUCGUCACACUAUCAUUAACUGAAUCCAUAGGUUAAUGAGGCGAACCGGGGGAACUGAAACAUCUAAGUACCCCGAGGAAAAGAAAUCAACCGAGAUUCCCCCAGUAGCGGCGAGCGAACGGGGAGCAGCCCAGAGCCUGAAUCAGUGUGUGUGUUAGUGGAAGCGUCUGGAAAGGCGCGCGAUACAGGGUGACAGCCCCGUACACAAAAAUGCACAUGCUGUGAGCUCGAUGAGUAGGGCGGGACACGUGGUAUCCUGUCUGAAUAUGGGGGGACCAUCCUCCAAGGCUAAAUACUCCUGACUGACCGAUAGUGAACCAGUACCGUGAGGGAAAGGCGAAAAGAACCCCGGCGAGGGGAGUGAAAAAGAACCUGAAACCGUGUACGUACAAGCAGUGGGAGCACGCUUAGGCGUGUGACUGCGUACCUUUUGUAUAAUGGGUCAGCGACUUAUAUUCUGUAGCAAGGUUAACCGAAUAGGGGAGCCGAAGGGAAACCGAGUCUUAACUGGGCGUUAAGUUGCAGGGUAUAGACCCGAAACCCGGUGAUCUAGCCAUGGGCAGGUUGAAGGUUGGGUAACACUAACUGGAGGACCGAACCGACUAAUGUUGAAAAAUUAGCGGAUGACUUGUGGCUGGGGGUGAAAGGCCAAUCAAACCGGGAGAUAGCUGGUUCUCCCCGAAAGCUAUUUAGGUAGCGCCUCGUGAAUUCAUCUCCGGGGGUAGAGCACUGUUUCGGCAAGGGGGUCAUCCCGACUUACCAACCCGAUGCAAACUGCGAAUACCGGAGAAUGUUAUCACGGGAGACACACGGCGGGUGCUAACGUCCGUCGUGAAGAGGGAAACAACCCAGACCGCCAGCUAAGGUCCCAAAGUCAUGGUUAAGUGGGAAACGAUGUGGGAAGGCCCAGACAGCCAGGAUGUUGGCUUAGAAGCAGCCAUCAUUUAAAGAAAGCGUAAUAGCUCACUGGUCGAGUCGGCCUGCGCGGAAGAUGUAACGGGGCUAAACCAUGCACCGAAGCUGCGGCAGCGACGCUGAUGCGUUGUUGGGUAGGGGAGCGUUCUGUAAGCCUGUGAAGGUGUGCUGUGAGGCAUGCUGGAGGUAUCAGAAGUGCGAAUGCUGACAUAAGUAACGAUAAAGCGGGUGAAAAGCCCGCUCGCCGGAAGACCAAGGGUUCCUGUCCAACGUUAAUCGGGGCAGGGUGAGUCGACCCCUAAGGCGAGGCCGAAAGGCGUAGUCGAUGGGAAACAGGUUAAUAUUCCUGUACUUGGUGUUACUGCGAAGGGGGGACGGAGAAGGCUAUGUUGGCCGGGCGACGGUUGUCCCGGUUUAAGCGUGUAGGCUGGUUUUCCAGGCAAAUCCGGAAAAUCAAGGCUGAGGCGUGAUGACGAGGCACUACGGUGCUGAAGCAACAAAUGCCCUGCUUCCAGGAAAAGCCUCUAAGCAUCAGGUAACAUCAAAUCGUACCCCAAACCGACACAGGUGGUCAGGUAGAGAAUACCAAGGCGCUUGAGAGAACUCGGGUGAAGGAACUAGGCAAAAUGGUGCCGUAACUUCGGGAGAAGGCACGCUGAUAUGUAGGUGAAGCGACUUGCUCGUGGAGCUGAAAUCAGUCGAAGAUACCAGCUGGCUGCAACUGUUUAUUAAAAACACAGCACUGUGCAAACACGAAAGUGGACGUAUACGGUGUGACGCCUGCCCGGUGCCGGAAGGUUAAUUGAUGGGGUUAGCGCAAGCGAAGCUCUUGAUCGAAGCCCCGGUAAACGGCGGCCGUAACUAUAACGGUCCUAAGGUAGCGAAAUUCCUUGUCGGGUAAGUUCCGACCUGCACGAAUGGCGUAAUGAUGGCCAGGCUGUCUCCACCCGAGACUCAGUGAAAUUGAACUCGCUGUGAAGAUGCAGUGUACCCGCGGCAAGACGGAAAGACCCCGUGAACCUUUACUAUAGCUUGACACUGAACAUUGAGCCUUGAUGUGUAGGAUAGGUGGGAGGCUUUGAAGUGUGGACGCCAGUCUGCAUGGAGCCGACCUUGAAAUACCACCCUUUAAUGUUUGAUGUUCUAACGUUGACCCGUGAUCCGGGUUGCGGACAGUGUCUGGUGGGUAGUUUGACUGGGGCGGUCUCCUCCUAAAGAGUAACGGAGGAGCACGAAGGUUGGCUAAUCCUGGUCGGACAUCAGGAGGUUAGUGCAAUGGCAUAAGCCAGCUUGACUGCGAGCGUGACGGCGCGAGCAGGUGCGAAAGCAGGUCAUAGUGAUCCGGUGGUUCUGAAUGGAAGGGCCAUCGCUCAACGGAUAAAAGGUACUCCGGGGAUAACAGGCUGAUACCGCCCAAGAGUUCAUAUCGACGGCGGUGUUUGGCACCUCGAUGUCGGCUCAUCACAUCCUGGGGCUGAAGUAGGUCCCAAGGGUAUGGCUGUUCGCCAUUUAAAGUGGUACGCGAGCUGGGUUUAGAACGUCGUGAGACAGUUCGGUCCCUAUCUGCCGUGGGCGCUGGAGAAUUGAGGGGGGCUGCUCCUAGUACGAGAGGACCGGAGUGGACGCAUCACUGGUGUUCGGGUUGUCAUGCCAAUGGCACUGCCCGGUAGCUAAAUGCGGAAGAGAUAAGUGCUGAAAGCAUCUAAGCACGAAACUUGCCCCGAGAUGAGUUCUCCCUGACUCCUUGAGAGUCCUGAAGGAACGUUGAAGACGACGACGUUGAUAGGCCGGGUGUGUAAGCGCAGCGAUGCGUUGAGCUAACCGGUACUAAUGAACCGUGAGGCUUAACCUUACAACGCCGAAG
RNAcentral lists this ribosomal RNA (2925 nucleotides) under Escherichia coli. RNAcentral's name for it is "23S ribosomal RNA". It matches the Rfam family "Bacterial large subunit ribosomal RNA". Lineage: Bacteria; Pseudomonadati; Pseudomonadota; Gammaproteobacteria; Enterobacterales; Enterobacteriaceae. The record is from RNAcentral.